Acanthamoeba castellanii str. Neff is the source of this 167-nucleotide small nuclear RNA. It matches the Rfam family "U1 spliceosomal RNA". Rfam says of the family: U1 is a small nuclear RNA (snRNA) component of the spliceosome (involved in pre-mRNA splicing). Its 5' end forms complementary base pairs with the 5' splice junction, thus defining the 5' donor site of an intron. NCBI's taxonomy places the organism in Eukaryota, Discosea, Longamoebia, Acanthamoebidae. The record is from Rfam.
AUACGUACCUUGCUGGAAAGGUCUGCGAUCACGAAGGCGGACCUUUUAGACACUACCCCCUUCCAUUGCACGUCGGUUGUGCGUGGUAGUGGCUACUGCUGCCCCACGGGGUAAGCAGACAGCAUAAUUUGUGGUCGAGUGGAUGGUGCGCUCGUCGCCUGUCCACG